This is a long non-coding RNA of Mesoplodon densirostris (Blainville's beaked whale), 4552 nucleotides long. RefSeq lists it as uncharacterized. The transcript is spliced from 4 exons. Lineage: Eukaryota; Metazoa; Chordata; Mammalia; Artiodactyla; Ziphiidae. The record is from RefSeq and is a predicted model, not a curated record.
GCCAGGAGACAUUUUGGGCACGCCCCAGCAGCAGGUCCCCGAAGAGCCAGUGUACGAGCGGCCAGAGCCCUAGUCAGGCUCCUUCGGAGGGCAAGCAUGGCGCGGCUUCGAGCGCUGCGAAGGACAGCGGCCGGUAUUCUUCCUUAAAUUCCUUCUGUGGCUUCUCUACUGAUUAAAACAAAAACAGCAACCAAGAAGCUCAGAGAGAUUAAGAGACAAAGGUAACAAAGUAUUUUUCCCGGGGCUAUUCUUCACAUUUUGCAUGUGUGCAUGUGUGUGUCCACCUUGAGUCCUCAAUUGCAUCAGUGAACGCUCAGAUUCUCACUGACUUUCUCUUUGCAAGAAGAACAUGUUAGUGGACGUAAUUACGUCCAUCUGUGUCAUCUCUGCGAUGUCCUCUGUCCCGGCCAGGCUUGUCGUGUUCCUGAUCCAGGGGUGCGUCAGCAAAUAGAAGCACCUGUAGUUCAUCAGCGGAGUGAAGCCCAUCAUUCUACUGGCUCUCCAGUUCUGUCUAGGACAUGGGGAUGCAGGUUCGAUCCCUAGUCGGGGAAUUAAGAUCCCACAUGCCGUGGGGCAACUAAGCCCGCGCAUCAUAACUACUGAGCUCACAUGCCUCAACGAGAGAGCCCAGGUGCCGCAAACUACAGAGCCCACGCGCCCUGGAGCCCUCACGCCACAACUAGAGAGAGAAAACCCGUGCUCCACAACUAGAGAGAAGCCCGCGAAGAGCCCGCGUGCCGCAACUAAGACCUGAUACAGCCAAAAAAAAAAAAAAAAGCAUUUAUAUUUUAUUUUAGUAAUUUUAUGACUUCUUUUCUUCUACAUUAAAAUCUAUAAUCCAUUUGAAUUUUAUUUUAGCAUGUGGUAUGAGAUAGACAUCUAAUAAUUUUCAUAAUUUUUCUCCUCUUCGUAUAUUUUCCAGCUUGAAAAUAUUUUUUUCUGUAUAUUCGGAUUCUUUUCUUAGGAUAUGUUACUAGAAGUUAAAUUUCUGGGUAAAGAUCAGACGCUCAGUUUUGAAUGUUAGGUUUGAGAUGUCCACUGGACAUUCAAGUAAGGAAGUUGAGGAGGCAGAUGGAAAUAAUGAAUUAGCUAUUCUUGGUCAUUUAUCCUUCCAGAUGAACUAUACAUGUAUUUUCUAGAGUUUGCCACAAAAAACUGUGAAAUUCAGAUUGCAGUAACUUUCAAAUUUAACGUUAAAAGCCUCAAAUAGGUGUUUAUUAAGUAAAGAUAUGCACUAUCUAUCUGUCUGCCAUGUGUUACUCUCAGUGGAGCGUUAGGAAGUCAUUAAUCAUGCAUAUGCAUUAUUUUUAGCAUAUAUAUGAAUAUGAAUAUAUAUGUAUACACAUAUAUACAUUCACCUACAUAUAUAUGAAUGACACAGGAAUAGAAAGUCCAAAAUGUUAACAGUGUUAUCUCUAAGUAGUGGAAAAUGGUUUUUUUCCACCUUUGGUCAUGGCCAUGAUAUUUAGUCUCUGUAAAAAUAUGUAUUACUUUUUCAUUCAGAGACAAACACUCUAUCCCAAGUAAUGUUAUUUUUAAAAGUCAAUAAAAAAUAUAUUUAGAGGAUAAAAACGAUGAAGAACAGAUUUUUCUUAGGCUCCUUGCAGUUUUUUAAUUUUAUCAUUUUGAUGUAUCAUGGCAAACAGGAGUUCAACAUUUGGAAAAGCCUUCAGAAGUGGUUAACAUUCUAAAUAAAUGUUACGUAAAACAGGUAUUUUCAACCCUUAAAAUGACAAAAAACCCUAAAUAUUUGGCAAUAAAAAUUAAAUACAUGGCAUAAUCAAAAACAGUGACAAAAUAUUGGAGGAACUUAGUAGGUCACCAGUACACUUUAAAUUUCAUAGAAGAAAUGGACAACUAUACCUCUGUUGAGUGCUCCAUAUUCUGUAUGGAAAACUCCAACUAGUUUUGAGUAGCCUAGAGUGACAUGGGCAUUAACUGCUCUUUUAAAUGCGUCACCCCACAGAGCUGGCCCACCAGGUUUCAUCUGAAAAGUUACCAGCUCGUAGACUCCUGGAAUAGGGAGAAAAUAAUUUAUAAAAGAUAUUCAAGAAAUUUCUCAUCAGGUUAGCGUGGUUCCAGUGGAAGGCUAAUCUACAUAUACAGAUUUGGAGGAUCGAACAUAAAAAUGUUUAUGUACACAUAUUUAUGAUUUCUUUGCAUUUCUUGCAUUUUUCCUAGCUUUUAUGUUUAGAAAGUCUUUCUCCAUGUUUAAGGGUGAGCUAUUAAGCUUAUCAUAGAGAACAAAGAAAAAGGAAGCUAUAUUAAGCUAUUAUCGGAAUGAUUUUUAAUCUAUAAAAUUAGUCAUUUAAACAAAUAAUGAGAAUUUAUGACAGGAUUAGGAUUUUUGAGCUGCCUGAGUCUAAUUCUAGGUAAGAAAUGAAUAAGAAAAGUAUUUUCUGAUCUCAUAUAUUUCCUUCUUCUUUCCAAUUCUGAGAGGAAACACUUUUUUGUUUGUAUAAUUUCCCCCUACAGGUUUCCAUUUCUAACAGGAACAGCCAGCAAACAAAGGACCCAAAGUGAUAUGUGAGAUUUUGAGGGGAAAAAAAAUGAAGAAGGUGGUUUUAUUGUUCCUAAAUGUCCAGGUAAACACUUGAAAAUCAGUUUACCUUCUGGUCAGAAGUAUGGAGCAGGUAGAAAAAAAGAAACUAGGGAACAAGUAGAUUUGAGAAGUAAAAGGAGAAAAAGUACAAAGCAACUAAAGAAUUAUAAACAACAUAGAGGCAGAUAACCAAGAUGUGACACUGUUCUAGGAGCCACUAAGUUCAUGUAGACAGUGCUGAAGGCUGAGGGGAGGUCCAGGUGGAUAGGAUCCAAAUAAGACAUUUCAAAUCUUUUGUCAUCUAAGAUACACUAUGAAGUUGGGAUUAUGGGGGAAAGAAAACUUAGUGUAUGCUUUUAAAAAGUCUGCCUUUUUAAAAUUAGGUUGAGGUAAAUAUUUCCCUUAAGUCAGUAAGAAAGUGAAAUCAGUAAGAAGAUAAAUCUUUAAUAAUUAUUUUCAAACUGAGAAAUAAGAGGAAAACAAAAAAGUUAAACUACAGUAAUUCUGCUUAACAGUUUAAAUUAAUCCAUUCCCCCCAGUUUUACAAGCAAAGAUAUACUUACUGUUUUUAGAUUAACUGUAAUCUGUGUAAAAAAAAUACUAAGUUAUGAGAAAAUAUCAUACAUUUUCCUUUACCUACCUAUACAUGUGUUCUGUGUUCUAGAUCCCCAACUUCUCAACCUUUCUUCCCAUGUAAACUUUUCAUAUUCAUACCUAAACUUUAACAGUUUUUCCAAAUUGGAAAAAAUUUCAUUAUUUAAUGCUCAUUGUUUUAAUUGUAAGCAAAGAGCUCAAAUUCAUUUUUAUCUCUAUAAUCACAAUAUAUUCUGAUAUAAAACAAAGGAUUACUUUUUCCUACGGAACUUUAGUUUUUAUAGCUUAAAAUCUUCAGUAUGUUCUUCAUUAAAAUUCAGUGUAAUUUAGAGAGACGAGCUUACCUUCUUUGGGUGGUUUUUCUAAUUUGCACCAUGGCACCAGAUAAGUAAUUUCACUCUCUUGUUUAUCAGUAAGACCCAAAAUUGGAAUGAGUAAUUGUUCUCGCCAUUCCUUAUCAUUGGCCAAGGCUUUCCGAACUUCAGUUUGAUGAGCAAAAUUGUCUUUGGGAAUAACAGGAGUAAGAAAAAUAAGUUAUUUUGGUUUAAAAUCACCUGUACACCUUUAACAUAUAUAAUAUUGUAUAUCAACUAUACAUCAAUAAAAAAAUAAAAUCACCUGUACUAUUUCUGGGUUUCAUUCAAUUUAGCAAAUGUUUAUUGAAGCCACAUAAGGACAAUAUGUUAUAUCACUAGAGAUACCAACAUAAGUAGUUGCUCAUGGCCUAAAGGGGGAGUGGCAAUGUAAACAACCAAUGAUGUCAUAUAGUAAUGGGCUUUAUAGGUGCUACCAUUUAGUAGGUAGUUGUGAGACUUAGGUAAGUUAUUGAAUCAUUCUGUGCCUGUCUCUUAUUCUGUGAAAUAGGGAUAAUGAUAUAGUAUCUACCUCCAGGGCUGUGGUGAGGAUUAAAAGAAUUGGUACAUGAAAGGAGCUUAGAACAAUGUUUGGCACCAAGUGAGUACUCCGUAUAUAUUAUUUAUUCUUAUUACUUGAGGCAUUUAAGUUAUAGUGUUAGUUUAGAGAAAGGCUGUUUCUUCAGUAGUGCUGGUGGUGGGUAGUCAGGUCAAGGUACAACUGAAUUAAAUUUAACAUAAAUGAAAUUAAGAUUUGCUUUUUCAGCCUCUUUGAACAAACAGCUUCCAAAGAAACAGUGCUAAUUCUUACUUAUUGACACCCAUUCUUUUUACCCAGUACUGUUUCUCUUCUGUUUGUUACCCGAACAGGUAUAUACAUUUAAUAACAUAUAGGCCUAGUACUAUAUUAUUAGAGCCUAAGGUUAAUGGUAAAAGAGUUUUCUAUGGUUUAUGCUAGAGAUAAGGAAUAACAUCUGUCUUAGAGCUUAAGUAAGUUAUAUCACGAUCUUACUAGUAAUUUUCUUAAUGGGACAUAAUUCUUCUUGUUGCACAUUAAAGCAUA